This 218-nucleotide ribosomal RNA is filed under the name uncultured bacterium. Its description in RNAcentral is "partial 16S ribosomal RNA". It matches the Rfam family "Bacterial small subunit ribosomal RNA", at positions 57 to 305 of the family's 1533-position model. The record is from RNAcentral.
GCAAGUCGAACGAACCUUCGGAAUUAGUGGCGGACGGGUGAGUAACGCGUGAGAAUCUGCCUCUUGAAUGGGGACAACAGUUGGAAACGACUGCUAAUACCCAAUAAGCCGAAAGGUGAAAGAUUUAUCGUCAAGAGAGGAGCUCGCGUCCGAUUAGCUAGUUGGUGGGGUAAAAGCCUACCAAGGCGGCGAUCGGUAGCUGGUCUGAGAGGACGACC